RNAcentral lists this ribosomal RNA (450 nucleotides) under uncultured prokaryote. Its description in RNAcentral is "bacterial SSU rRNA". It matches the Rfam family "Bacterial small subunit ribosomal RNA", at positions 355 to 796 of the family's 1533-position model. The record is from RNAcentral.
UCGGGAAUUUUGGGCAAUGGGGGAAACCCUGACCCAGCAACGCCGCGUGAGGGAUGAAGGCCUUCGGGUCGUAAACCUCUGUCGAGAGGGAAGAAGGGCGGUCGGCCCAAUACGCCGGCCGUUUGACGGUACCUCCAAAGGAAGCACCGGCUAACUCCGUGCCAGCAGCCGCGGUAAUACGGAGGGUGCGAGCGUUGUUCGGAAUUACUGGGCGUAAAGCGCGUGUAGGCGGCUUGGCAAGUCGGAUGUGAAAGCCCGAGGCUCAACCUCGGAACUGCAUUCGAAACUGCCUCGCUCGAGUCCCGGAGAGGAUGGUGGAAUUCCCAGUGUAGAGGUGAAAUUCGUAGAUAUUGGGAGGAACACCAGUGGCGAAGGCGACCAUCUGGACGGUGACUGACGCUGAGACGCGAAAGCGUGGGGAGCAAACAGGAUUAGAUACCCCCGUAGUCC